UGGGGAGUACGGCCGCAAGGCUAAAACUCAAAGGAAUUGACGGGGACCCGCACAAGCGGUGGAUGAUGUGGAUUAAUUCCGAUGCAACGCGAAAAACCUUACCUACCCUUGACAUGUCCGAAAUCCCUGAGAGAUUGGGGAGUGCUCGAAAGAGAAUCGGAACACAGGUGCUGCAUGGCUGUCGUCAGCUCGUGUCGUGAGAUGUUGGGUUAAGUCCCGCAACGAGCGCAACCCUUGUCAUUAAUUGCCAUCAUUGAGUUGGGCACUUUAAUGAGACUGCCGGUGACAAACCGGAGGAAGGUGGGGAUGACGUCAAGUCCUCAUGGCCCUUAUGGGUAGGGCCUCACACGUCAUACAAUGGUCGGUCCAGAGGGUUGCCAAGCCGCGAGGUGGAGCCAAUCUCAGAAAGCCGAUCGUAGUCCGGAUUGCAGUCUGCAACUCGACUGCAUGAAGUCGGAAUCGCUAGUAAUCGCGGAUCAGCAUGUCGCGGUGAAUACGUUCCCGGGUCUUGUACACACCGCCCGUCACACCAUGGGAGCGGGUUCUGCCAGAAGUGGGUAGCCUAACCGCAAGGAAGGCGCUUGCCACGGCGGGGUUCGUGACUGGGGUGAAGUCGUAACAAGGUAACCGUA
RNAcentral lists this ribosomal RNA (632 nucleotides) under uncultured bacterium. Its description in RNAcentral is "bacterial SSU rRNA". It matches the Rfam family "Bacterial small subunit ribosomal RNA", at positions 874 to 1504 of the family's 1533-position model. The record is from RNAcentral.